RNAcentral lists this unclassified non-coding RNA (292 nucleotides) under Hevea brasiliensis (rubber tree). Lineage: Eukaryota; Viridiplantae; Streptophyta; Magnoliopsida; Malpighiales; Euphorbiaceae. The record is from RNAcentral.
CAACGUCUCGCAUGGUCUCGGUGUCGCUCUUCAGCCGGUUAACCUGCUGUACUGUUUCAUCGGCGUCUUCAUCGGCACGCUGGUCGGCGUGCUGCCGGGCAUCGGCCCGAUCUCGGCGAUGUCGCUGCUGCUGCCGGUGACGCUGUCAGGCACGCCGGAGUCCGGCAUCAUCAUGAUGGCGGGCAUCUACUACGGCUCGAUGUAUGGCGGCUCGACCACGUCGAUCCUUGUCAACAUUCCGGGCGAGGCCGCGUCGGUGGUGACAUGUCUCGACGGGCACCAGAUGGCGAAG